This 1209-nucleotide non-coding RNA is filed under the name Pongo abelii (Sumatran orangutan). The record is from RNAcentral. Lineage: Eukaryota; Metazoa; Chordata; Mammalia; Primates; Hominidae.
AUGAGGCCUUCAAUGCUUGUCACUGACCUGGGUCACUACUGCGUCACAGUGUUAAGCUGGACAUUUUUCUGGCUCAAGCCAUGCCUUUUACAGUGGAGGGAGCACUCGGGAUCCCAGAGGUUUUAGGUCAAGAAGACUCUCAGAUGUCAUGGAUUUGGAGUCGCGCUGCAGAGGGAAGUUCUGCCAUUGAAAAAAGAGCUGCAUCUCAGAUCCCCUCAGAAGAGAUGGAUUUUCUUCCAGGGAGGGUUCCCCCCUGUCAUGCCAUCCAUGGCAGCAUCCCUAACCUCUCUUUGGGAGGCCUAAGGAGCACCCACUCAGGAUUCUUUCUGGAAACAACCUGGGGGACUUUGAUGAGAGGCCCAAGCCUUCCAGCUACCUCACAGUCACCUAAUGUCUUCCCAAUGGGGUAGAGGCUUCUGAAUCGGACAUCAGAACAGACGCCUGAGGCUUCCUGCCAUGAAAGCUGGUCUUCCUGGAAAGACUGAUGGAGUUUUGCUCUUGUUGCCCAAGCUGGAGUGCAAUGGUGUGAUCUUGGCUCACUGCAACCUCUGCUUCCUGGGUUCAAGUGAUUCCCCUGCCUCAGCCUCCCGAGUAGCAGGGAUUACAGAUGGAGCCUCACUCUGUCACCCAGGCUGGAGUGCAGUGGCACAAUCUCGGGUCACUGCAACCUCCGCCCCCCAGGUUCAAGCGAUUCUCCUGUCUCAGCCUCCCGAGUAGCUAGGAUUACAGGUGCAUGCCACCAGGCCUGGAUAAUUUUUAUAUUUUUAGUAGAGUUGGGAUUUUGCCAUGUUGGCCAGGCUGGUCUCAAACUCCUGACCUCAGGUGACCCAUCCACCUCAGCCUCCCAAAGUGCUGGGACUACAGGUGUGAGCCACCAUGCCUGGUCCCCCACUUGUUGAUUUUGCAGAAAAGAUAGCUGUGUUACAACCCGUCCUAAGGUCAGGUAUGAAUACUUGUGCUUCUUUCUUGGCUCCCCAAGCCAGAGGGCAUUCCUAUGCCCUGGUGAGAGAGCACGGAGUAUUACUUUGGCAGCAUAGUCAGUUACCAGAGGUGGGAAAAGCAAAGGCCAAGCAGGACAUGAGGGGCCCUUGCACUGGCUGGUUCUCCCUGCCUUCACCACCCUCCAGGUGAAUGACUAGGUGAGUAAUGAUUGACUGAGGAGGUAAUGAAUAAUUUAUGGACACUGCUGGACCUCAGUCUCCUCAUCUG